GGUGUUUCAGACUCUGGCUUGGGGUCGGGGGAGAGAGACAUAACUCAGGAUGAUAAAAAAUAUAUAUAUUUCACCCAGUGAAUGCCCUUAAGGCUUUCUUCACAGGGCAGUUAGCUAUUUGACAGCCUCCCAGAAGCAAGCCUACACUGUGACCUAUCCAGCUUUUCAAAACCCUCCUCCCAGUAUUUGUGCAUUGCCAACUAUAGGGUACUCUACAUCAGUAAUUCACAAUCUUUGGUCCUCCGGGUAAGCUGGCUGGAUUUUCCAGAAGUUGAAGUCCAAAACAACUAAAGGACCAAAGGUUGAGAACCACUGCUCUACAUGGAUAGUAAAGAUGUGCUUCUUCCAACAGGCCUUUCCCCAUUGACUCAGUUUAUAAAUUCUGCUUUGAAUGUUUUAGAUGUUUGAAAUGAUACUUAUCCUCAUUGUUUAUUUUAUGCUUUGGAUUUUAGCAUCUGCAUUUUUAUAUGUGUUGAAUUUUUUAUUCACAGUGAGAUAUUAAUAGACAUAGGAACCAGUAUACAAAUAGAUUAAAUAAUCAUAAUACUGAUAAUCCCUAUCUAGUGACAAUGCUGGGUGCAUCUGAUGGGAGAUGAAAUCCCAAACAUCUGGAAAAAAUAUUUCCCAUCCUGCUGCAAAAACUGUUUGAUAGACAUCAUGAAAAUUGCCAUAAUAAUACCUGCAGUGUCUUGGAGACAAACAUAUUCAUAAUCUCCAUUGAGCUCCGCAGGUGCCAAUGCCAAAAUUGCAAUGGUUUCUAUUUUUCUUAAUGAUGAAUCAGCAUAUUCCAUAAAAGUUCUUUUGUGGUUCUUGGUAAAACCUUAGUUAGAGACAGAGGGCCAAAAUCAAAACCAUAUGGAUGACAGUUAUAAAACUAUUAUGAUCCAUCAUUUAUGUGGUACCCUUAAAUGUAUGCUGUGCUUCUCCAAUAAAGAGUAAAACAUGCUCCUCCUAAUUCUGUGUUACAAUAUUAGACAAAUGCUUGUUUCAUGGACACACUGCAGAUAGAACAUUAGAAAAUGGUUUUGAACUUCAGAUAAAGGUAUAUUUAAGGAGGAAAACCAAAACUGGACUUCGUGUCUUGUUACCAUGUAUCAUACAACUUGUUUUCAGUAUCAUGUCUUGCCGUGAAUCUAAAGACAUUCUGCUGUUACUAUUAUUGUUGUCUUAUCUGCCUUCUUGCUGAUUCCUCCUCCUGAUGACCCAAUCUCAGGCUUUUCUUGAAAAUAUUUAUUCAGAGAUUUACCAUUGCCUGCCUCUAACAUAUCCUCCAACCUUUCACAGAUGACAGCUACCACACAACAUUACAAUGUCAUCAAGAUAACCAUUUGCUCUUAUCUGAGCCUACUGGAAAGAAGAUGGAAGGGGAAACUGCACUUAGAACAACUGAAGUAAGUUGAAGACAAACUGGGAGCAGCAAGGAGAAACUAGGACAUUACAAAAGCAGUUGAAGGAGUAGGACAUCUGAAGUCAGAAUUGUCCCUGCCACAUUGGGAGAACCGGAGGGUAUGUGCACUCCAAGCCUCAUCCCAAAAGGAAGAAGAGGUAGAUUCCGUCAGAGACUUUGGCACACAUGUAUUGGAUAUGGAAAUAAAAGAUAUGAAGAUGGAAUAAAUAUUUGAGACCCAGCCAGUGGUGUAGUCAUAAAUUUUGAACUGCAAAUACUUAUCAUGACAAGUCUGAAAGGCAGGCUCCAAAUGAGAAUCCAAAAAUGCAGCAGCUCUGUACAUUUCGACAUAUUGCUUCUCAUAGUCUUCUCUGCCUUCAAGAAUAGAACUUUUAUAAAGUUAACCAGUUAACUGCACAUUGAAACUGUGAUAAUUGUGGUACAUAUUUAACACUUCUUUUCCUUCCCAUAUCACAUUCAGAAUAUUUGCAUCUUUUCUGAACAAAAAUAUUGUCUGGUGUUUUGUAUUAUACUUUGAGUUGCCUUGUGUCCCAUAUUAAUUGAAAACAGGAUACAGAUUAAACAAAUGUGUCUUUAUUUGUUCCGUAGGAAUAUCAGAAUAUAUUCACACAAAGAGAGACCUACUAUGAGGACUGCAAGUAAAUUCAGGGGGGAGUGUAGAUGCUGCAGUUUUCCUUACUAAUAAAAGCUACCAGCACUGACUCUGGAAGACUAAGGUUUAGCUAUUGACUUUUGAAUAGUUACCUUCUAUUAGGCUUAGAAGAGGGCAAUGGUAAAUCCCUUCUGAAUAACUGCCUCACCACAUUGAGAAAUUUCCCAGCCGUAGGACACUUCAGACUCUUUUCAAGCAUGGAGAGGCACUGAGCUUAUUACAUGAGUUAAACUACUUCUGGCAGUUAUGCAUAGCCCUCCGUGGUUGAAAAAAGGCAGAAGUGUCCUGAAAGGAGGAAACUGGCAAUCAGCCUCAUCACAUUGAGAAAUUUCUCCCUUGUAGGAUACUUAAGCCUCUUUUCUAGUAUGGAGAGACACGGAGCUCAUCACAUGUUCCAGGGCUGAAAAGAGGCUGAAUUGUCCUGAAAGGAGGGAACUCUGAACAUGGGCCAGCAAUCGUGUUGAGAGCUCCAACCUCUUAUUACACUUUGCUCACAUCUUUACAACUGAAAAACAGGUGUAAUGGGAACCAUAAAAGUUUCCCAAUCUAUUUCAUUGCUCAGCCGUCAGCAAUCUCUUGUAUUCUAUGUGGUUCGAUGCAGAUUAAUAGGAUCCCAUGGAAAACAAUGGUUUUAACCUGGAUCACUACCUCUUGUGUCCUCUGGGGUUCGAUGUAGGUCAAUAGGAUUUCAUGGAAAGCAAUGGUUUUAACAUGGAUCACCAUCUCUUGUAUCCUAUUAACUUUGAUGCAGAACCAUAGGAUCCCAUGGAAAGAAAUGGUUUUAAACUGGUGUCAAUUUUUAAUGUAAGAGGGUUUGGACAGGGCAAGGGAUCUCUUGGUUUCUGGAUAUUGUUGUUUCUCCUGGUUGAAAACAAAAAGUAAUACUGAUCUUGUGAUGAAUGUAAAAUAAAUAUAUUGACAAUU
Molecule: long non-coding RNA, 2984 nt
Organism: Anolis carolinensis (green anole)
Lineage: Eukaryota; Metazoa; Chordata; Lepidosauria; Squamata; Anolidae
Exons: 2
Source: RefSeq, a predicted model, not a curated record